This 315-nucleotide ribosomal RNA is filed under the name uncultured bacterium. RNAcentral's name for it is "bacterial SSU rRNA". It matches the Rfam family "Bacterial small subunit ribosomal RNA", at positions 29 to 334 of the family's 1533-position model. The record is from RNAcentral.
AGUUAACGCUGGCAUCGUGCAUAACACAUGCAAGUCGAACGGGACUUUGCUUUGUAGCAAUACAGAGUAAAGUUUAGUGGCAGACGGGUGAGUAAUGUAUAAGAAACCUACCUCUGAGUGGGGAAUAACAGUCCGAAAGGAUUGCUAAUACCCCAUAACAUCUUUAGACGGCAUCGUUUAGAGAUCAAAGAUUUAUCGCUUGGAGACGGUCUUAUAUUCUAUCAGCUAGUUGGUGGGGUAACGGCCUACCAAGGCUACGACGGAUAGCCGGCCUGAAAGGGCGACCGGCCACAAGGGCACUGAGACACGGGCCCU